GGGCCCGUAGCUCAGCCAGGUAGAGCGCCCGGCUCAUAACCGGGUGGUCCGGGGUUCAAAUCACCGCGGGCCCA
Molecule: transfer RNA, 74 nt
Filed under: Desulfurococcaceae archaeon
Lineage: Archaea; Thermoproteati; Thermoproteota; Thermoprotei; Desulfurococcales; Desulfurococcaceae
Description: tRNA-Met
Rfam family: tRNA
About the family: Transfer RNA (tRNA) molecules are approximately 80 nucleotides in length. Their secondary structure includes four short double-helical elements and three loops (D, anti-codon, and T loops).
Source: RNAcentral